This 468-nucleotide ribosomal RNA is filed under the name uncultured bacterium. RNAcentral's name for it is "partial 16S ribosomal RNA". It matches the Rfam family "Bacterial small subunit ribosomal RNA", at positions 28 to 507 of the family's 1533-position model. The record is from RNAcentral.
GACGAACGCUGGCGGCGUGCUUAACACAUGCAAGUCGAACGGAAAGGCCCUGCUUUUGUGGGGUGCUCGAGUGGCGAACGGGUGAGUAACACGUGAGUAACCUGCCCUUGACUUUGGGAUAACUUCAGGAAACUGGGGCUAAUACCGGAUAGGAGCUCCUGCUGCAUGGUGGGGGUUGGAAAGUUUCGGCGGUUGGGGAUGGACUCGCGGCUUAUCAGCUUGUUGGUGGGGUAGUGGCUUACCAAGGCUUUGACGGGUAGCCGGCCUGAGAGGGUGACCGGCCACAUUGGGACUGAGAUACGGAGCAGACUCCUACGGGAGGCAGAAGUGGGGAAUAUUGCACAAUGGGCGGAAGCCUGAUGCAGCAACGCCGCGUGCGGGAUGACGGCCUUCGGGUUGUAAACCGCUUUCGCCUGUGACGAAGCGUGAGUGACGGUAAUGGGUAAAGAAGCACCGGCUAACUACGUG